Molecule: non-coding RNA, 477 nt
Organism: Sesamum indicum (sesame)
Lineage: Eukaryota; Viridiplantae; Streptophyta; Magnoliopsida; Lamiales; Pedaliaceae
Source: RefSeq, a predicted model, not a curated record
GUUGAAGAUUUAUUUACCCUGGUCAACUGUGUUCUUCAAGAUGUUCAAUUGACUGACCAGAAGCGUUUUAAGCAGUUUGUUUCUCAAAGCAAAGCAAGAAUGGAGAUUGAUCUCUGACAGAACUGAGACUAAUUUGCCUUCUUCAACUAAGUCAUGUUAAUUGUUGAUUUCCAUAAUAGGUUAAGAGGCAAGUGGACAUAGCAUUGCACUGCAAGGAUGGAUGCAAAGCUCAGUGUUGCAUGUUGGAUCUCUGAACAGAUGGUGGAGCAAUGAACCACAAAUUCAGAUAAUUUCCAAGAAGCGUUCUCCAAGGCAAAGAAGCAUUGAAACAAAAAUACAGCAUGCAUGGUGUUCUGGAAAGUAAGAUUUACGACUUAUAUGACCUUUAUGUUGAGGUAAUAUAUCAGCUUUUAAUACUUCCGUUCGAUGAAUAUUGUUGUACUGAUAUACCUAACUUGCUAAUUUCAUUCCAAAACU